AGAAGGAAGGAUACACUGAAGAGGAAGGGGAAGGGAGGGAAAAAUGGGGAGUGAGGUAGGAAAAAUUGAAAGGGAUGGAGAGGAGUGAGAGAGUAAGGAAGGAUACAUUUAAGAGGAGGAAAAGGAAGGGGAAAGGAAGGGGAGUGAGGUAGGAAAAAUUGAAAGGGAUGGGGAGGAGUGAGAGGGUAAGGAAGGAUGCACUGAAGAGGAGGAAGAGGAAGGGAGGGAAGGGGAGUGAGGUAGGAAAAAUUGAAAGGGAUGGGGAGGAAUGAGAGGGUAAGGAAGGAUGCACUGAAGAGGAGGAAGAGGAAGGGGAAGGAAGGGAAAAGAGGGAGGAGAGAAAAACAAAAGAAUCUGAAUAAUAAUUGUGAAACGGCUAAUGCUUUCAACCCCGUCUGUUUGAAAAGUAAGCAACACACACACACACACACACACACACACACACACACACACACACACACACACACACACACACACACA
Long non-coding RNA from Eriocheir sinensis (Chinese mitten crab), 480 nucleotides. RefSeq lists it as uncharacterized. The record is from RefSeq and is a predicted model, not a curated record. NCBI's taxonomy places the organism in Eukaryota, Metazoa, Arthropoda, Malacostraca, Decapoda, Varunidae. The transcript is spliced from 2 exons.